Anneissia japonica is the source of this 1097-nucleotide long non-coding RNA. RefSeq lists it as uncharacterized. The record is from RefSeq and is a predicted model, not a curated record. The transcript has 3 exons. NCBI's taxonomy places the organism in Eukaryota, Metazoa, Echinodermata, Crinoidea, Comatulida, Comatulidae.
CUCCGAUCUGCUCCGAACAUUUAAGACCUCUUUUUAAGAGCUUCAUUUGGGCCUGAGAUUAUAUACUACUAUAGUAAUCUGUGAUUUGGGCUAAAGUUUACACCACGUGUCUGGAAGAUCCUACCGAAGAUGGCAGGGAGACCCGAAAUCGAAUUCGACAUUGAACGUGCAAAGGAAAUGAUAAAACUCCAGUUUACCAUGGCAGAUACUGUAUAUAGCGAGGGCUUUCGGAGUGAAUCUCAUGGGUCAUCUCAGAUCAAGAGGUAUCAGAAUUCAACGCGCACGCCUUUGGAAAGCAUUACAAGCUGUCGACCCAACCGGGGUACAGAGAAGACGAACGAGAACUAUCACCAGACGAAUUUAUUCUGUUCCAUGCCCGAACUACCUCUGGCAUAUAGAUGGGACACACAAAAUGAUUAGGUGGAAGUUUGUCAUACAUGCCGGCAUUGAUGGAUUUUCCCGAUUGAUUACUUACCUGCAUUGUAGUGACAACAACACUGCUGAAACUGUGUUGAGAUUAUUUGAGUCGGCGGUUAACCGGUAUGGUUUGCCUAUACGAGUGAGGUCGGAUCAUGGUGGUUAAAAUCAAGGUGUUUGGGGGAAAAUGUUUGCAGAAAGAGGAGAAACAAUUAAUAACCCUGUCAUUCUUGGGUCGUCUGUCAAUGAACGCGUAGAACGAUUAAAUUACGAUAUAAAUAAUCAAGUAGUUUCUUAUUUUAAAUGUAUUUUAAAGAAUUAGAGCGCAAUGGUUUGUUAGACCCCGAUAACGCCACUGAUUUAUUCUGUCUUCAUUAUGUUUUCCUACCGAUAAUCGACAAACACCUACACGAGUUUGAAGCGUGUCACAACAACCACAAUAUAUCUACAGAGGGCAACCGGACACCAAUCCAACUGUUUUACAGUAAUCAACAUUUGAUACAACUUCAUGAAAAUCAACACAUUAAAAGGAGAAAACACUUUAUAAAUAUAAAAUUCAUUGCUAAAGGCCUGUUACCAAAAAUUUUAUAUAAAGAAACAUAAAUUAAUUGAUUAUAAUAAACAAAAUUGUAUUUUAAUAAAAGCAGAUUAUUUAACAUAUUAAGGUAUUAUUUACCUAA